RNAcentral lists this ribosomal RNA (253 nucleotides) under uncultured bacterium. RNAcentral's name for it is "partial 16S ribosomal RNA". It matches the Rfam family "Bacterial small subunit ribosomal RNA", at positions 524 to 776 of the family's 1533-position model. The record is from RNAcentral.
GACGUAGGGUGCGAGCGUUGUCCGGAUUUAUUGGGCGUAAAGGGCGCGUAGGCGGCUACGCACGUCCGUUGUGAAAUCGCUCGGCUCAACUGGGCGGGGUCAGCGGAUACGGUGUAGCUGGAGCAAGCUAGGGGGCAAUGGAAUUCCCGGUGUAGUGGUGGAAUGCGUAGAUAUCGGGAGGAACACCAGUGGCGAAGGCGGUUGCCUGGAGCUUUGCUGACGCUGAUGCGCGAAAGCGUGGGGAGCGAACAGG